AGGGGGAGCGCCAGAUCUUGGGCUGUGUCCCCCAGCACCCUGGGCUCCGGGCCUUGCGCCACUGGAAUCACGCUCCUGGGCCACGCAGCCCCCU
This 94-nucleotide microRNA precursor is filed under the name Canis lupus familiaris (dog). RNAcentral describes it as "mir-8799 microRNA precursor family". It matches the Rfam family "mir-8799 microRNA precursor family". The record is from Rfam by way of RNAcentral. RNAcentral also lists the same sequence under 1 other name. Lineage: Eukaryota; Metazoa; Chordata; Mammalia; Carnivora; Canidae.